RNAcentral lists this ribosomal RNA (528 nucleotides) under uncultured bacterium. RNAcentral's name for it is "partial 16S ribosomal RNA". It matches the Rfam family "Bacterial small subunit ribosomal RNA", at positions 355 to 873 of the family's 1533-position model. The record is from RNAcentral.
UGGGGAAUAUUGCACAAUGGGCGCAAGCCUGAUGCAGCCAUGCCGCGUGUGUGAAGAAGGCCUUCGGGUUGUAAAGCACUUUCAGCGAGGAGGAAGGUGGUGAACUUAAUACGUUCAUCAAUUGACGUUACUCGCAGAAGAAGCACCGGCUAACUCCGUGCCAGCAGCCGCGGUAAUACGGAGGGUGCAAGCGUUAAUCGGAAUUACUGGGCGUAAAGCGCACGCAGGCGGUUUGUUAAGUCAGAUGUGAAAUCCCCGGGCUCAACCUGGGAACUGCAUUUGAAACUGGCAAGCUAGAGUCUCGUAGAGGGGGGUAGAAUUCCAGGUGUAGCGGUGAAAUGCGUAGAGAUCUGGAGGAAUACCGGUGGCGAAGGCGGCCCCCCUGGACGAAGACUGACGCUCAGGUGCGAAAGCGUGGGGCAGCAAACAGGAUUAGAUACCCUGGUAGUCCACGCUGUAAACGAUGUCGAUUUGGAGGUUGUGCCCUUGAGGCGUGGNUUCCGGAGCUAACGCGUUAAAUCGACCGCC